RNAcentral lists this ribosomal RNA (335 nucleotides) under Acanthamoeba sp. CDC # V524. RNAcentral describes it as "SSU rRNA". It matches the Rfam family "Eukaryotic small subunit ribosomal RNA", at positions 940 to 1191 of the family's 1831-position model. Lineage: Eukaryota; Discosea; Longamoebia; Acanthamoebidae. The record is from RNAcentral.
CUUCUGCGAAAGCAUCUGCCAAGGAUGUUUUCAUUAAUCAAGAACGAAAGUUAGGGGAUCGAAGACGAUCAGAUACCGUCGUAGUCUUAACCAUAAACGAUGCCGACCAGCGAUUAGGAGACGUUGAAUACAAAACACCACCAUCGGCGCGGUCGUCCUUGGCGUUCGUGUUCACGCCGAGCGCGAGGGCGGCUUAGCCCGAUGGCACCGGUGAAUGACUCCCCUAGCAGCUUGUGAGAAAUCAUAAGUCUUUGGGUUCCGGGGGGAGUAUGGUCGCAAGGCUGAAACUUAAAGGAAUUACGGAAGGGCACCACCAGGAGUGGAGCCUGCGGCUU